This 491-nucleotide ribosomal RNA is filed under the name uncultured bacterium. RNAcentral describes it as "partial 16S ribosomal RNA". It matches the Rfam family "Bacterial small subunit ribosomal RNA", at positions 30 to 507 of the family's 1533-position model. The record is from RNAcentral.
AUUGAACGCUGGCGGCAUGCUUUACACAUGCAAGUCGAACGGUAACAGGCCUUCGGGUGCUGACGAGUGGCGAACGGGUGAGUAAUGCAUCGGAACGUGCCCAGAGGUGGGGGAUAACGCAGCGAAAGCUGUGCUAAUACCGCAUGUGAUCUGAGGAUGAAAGCGGGGGACCAAGCAGCAAUGUUUGGCCUCGCGCCUCUGGAGCGGCCGAUGUCAGAUUAGGUAGUUGGUGGGGUAAAGGCCUACCAAGCCGACGAUCUGUAGCUGGUCUGAGAGGACGACCAGCCACACUGGGACUGAGACACGGCCCAGACUCCUACGGGAGGCAGCAGUGGGGAAUUUUGGACAAUGGGCGAAAGCCUGAUCCAGCAAUGCCGCGUGCGGGAAGAAGGCCUUCGGGUUGUAAACCGCUUUUGUACGGAACGAAAAGGCUCUGGCUAAUACCUGGGGCUGAUGACGGUACCGUAAGAAUAGCACCGGCUAACUACGUG